GAUGAACGCUGGCGGCGUGCCUAAUACAUGCAAGUCGAGCGAACGGACGAGAAGCUUGCUUCUCUGAUGUUAGCGGCGGACGGGUGAGUAACACGUGGAUAACCUACCUAUAAGACUGGGAUAACUUCGGGAAACCGUAGCUAAUACCGGAUAAUAUUUUGAACCGCAUGGUUCAAAAGUGAAAGACGGUCUUGCUGUCACUUAUAGAUGGAUCCGCGCUGCAUUAGCUAGUUGGUAAGGUAACGGCUUACCAAGGCAACGAUGCAUAGCCGACCUGAGAGGGUGAUCGCCCACACGGGAACUGAGACACGGUCAAGACCCCGACGGGGGGGAGAAGUAGGGAAUCUUCCGAAAAGGGCGAAGGCCGGCGGGAGCACCGCCGCGGGAGUGAGAAAGUUGUGAGGAUCUAAAACCUGUUUUAUUAGGGAAAAAAAAAUGUGAAAGUAACUGGGCACAUCUGGACGGUACCUAAUCAGAAAGCCAGGGCUAACUCCGUG
Molecule: ribosomal RNA, 497 nt
Filed under: uncultured bacterium
Lineage: Bacteria
Description: partial 16S ribosomal RNA
Rfam family: Bacterial small subunit ribosomal RNA
Source: RNAcentral